Molecule: unclassified non-coding RNA, 352 nt
Filed under: soil metagenome
Description: partial contains 5.8S ribosomal RNA, internal transcribed spacer 2, and large subunit ribosomal RNA
Rfam family: 5.8S ribosomal RNA (bases 1-120)
Source: RNAcentral
GAUGAAGAACGUAGUGAAAUGCGAUAAGUAAUGUGAAUUGCAGAAUUCAGUGAAUCAUCGAAUCUUUGAACGCACAUUGCGCCCGCCAGUAUUCUGGCGGGCAUGCCUGUUCGAGCGUCAUUACAACCCUCAGGCCCCCGGGCCUGGCGUUGGGGAUCGGCGGAAGCCCCCUGCGGGCACAACGCCGUCCCCCAAAUACAGUGGCGGUCCCGCCGCAGCUUCCAUUGCGUAGUAGCUAACACCUCGCAACUGGAGAGCGGCGCGGCCACGCCGUAAAACACCCAACUUCUGAAUGUUGACCUCGAAUCAGGUAGGAAUACCCGCUGAACUUAAGCAUAUCAAUAGCGGAGGA